GCAGUGGUAGUUAAGGGUAGAAUUCUUGCCUUCCAUGCGAGACACUCAGGUUCGAUUCCUGGCCAGUGCA
This 70-nucleotide transfer RNA is filed under the name Loxodonta africana (African savanna elephant). It matches the Rfam family "tRNA". Rfam says of the family: Transfer RNA (tRNA) molecules are approximately 80 nucleotides in length. Their secondary structure includes four short double-helical elements and three loops (D, anti-codon, and T loops). The record is from Rfam by way of RNAcentral. Lineage: Eukaryota; Metazoa; Chordata; Mammalia; Proboscidea; Elephantidae.